This 209-nucleotide long non-coding RNA is filed under the name Lathyrus oleraceus (garden pea). Its description in RNAcentral is "Pisum sativum (pea) long non-coding RNA (PSAT_LNC035893)". Lineage: Eukaryota; Viridiplantae; Streptophyta; Magnoliopsida; Fabales; Fabaceae. The record is from RNAcentral.
AAAGACCAGCAUUUCACAAAGGUAUAAGCAUGGCAAGGUCAAAUAAGCAUACAUGUUCAAUCAUUCUAGCACAAAACGUUAUCCAGCCAAGCACAACUUGCAAAAUCAUGGUGAUAAAAAACUAGAGAGAAUAAGGAUCAUAAUGCAAAAAACCUGGUAAUUUUUGGAUGAGUUUUCAAAUAGUUAUGAAUUUUACAAGAUGAGAAAAA